GACGAACGCUGGCGGCGUGCUUAACACAUGCCAGUCGAACGGAAAGGCCCUGCUUGCCGGGUACUCGAGUGGCGAACGGGUGAGUAACACGUGGGUGAUCUGCCCUGCACUUCGGGAUAAGCCUGGGAAACUGGGUCUAAUACCGGAUAGGAGCCAUUUUUAGUGUGAUGGUUGGAAAGUUUUUUCGGUGUAGGGUGAGCUCGCGGCCUAUCAGCUUGUUGGUGGGGUAAUGGCCUACCAAGGCGGCGACGGGUAGCCGGCCUGAGAGGGUGGACGGCCACAUUGGGACUGAGAUACGGCCCAGACUCCUACGGGAGGCAGCAGUGGGGAAUAUUGCACAAUGGGCGCAAGCCUGAUGCAGCGACGCCGCGUGGGGGAUGACGGCCUUCGGGUUGUAAACUCCUUUCGCUAGGGACGAAGCUUUUUGUGACGGUACCUAGAUAAGAAGCACCGGCUAACUACGUG
This 465-nucleotide ribosomal RNA is filed under the name uncultured bacterium. RNAcentral's name for it is "partial 16S ribosomal RNA". It matches the Rfam family "Bacterial small subunit ribosomal RNA", at positions 28 to 507 of the family's 1533-position model. The record is from RNAcentral.